Non-coding RNA from Cyprinus carpio (common carp), 482 nucleotides. NCBI's taxonomy places the organism in Eukaryota, Metazoa, Chordata, Actinopteri, Cypriniformes, Cyprinidae. The record is from the annotation of a RefSeq genome assembly.
AAGCAUCAUCAAACACCAGAAGCAUAAUUUUUGCAUGGAACUGCAUUGAUCUGAAGAUGAAUCUGAGUUAUUUUAUUCUGCUUGUACUCGUUUCAUAUGCACAUGGUCAGUCACUGACCUCCUCUGGUUCUGAGGUAAAGAAACCCGGAGAAUCAGUCACACUGUCUUGUGUGGCUUCUGGACUGUCCCUUAGCUGGUUGCACUGGAUCCGGCAGAAACAGGGGAAAGGACUGGAGUGGAUUGGGCGUAUUGACGAUGGCACUGGCACUAUUUUUGCUCAGUCCUUACAAGGCCAAUUCUCCAUCACAAAAGACACCAGCAAAAACAUGGUGUACUUGGAAAUAAAAAGUCUGAAAACUGAAGACACAGCCGUUUAUUACUGUGCACGAGAGUCACAGUUACACAAAAGACUGCAGUCUCCAUCAAAAACCUGCAUGCAUGGUGUUUGUGAAGUCAAUCAGACGUGACUAGAACAUUCAUAC